RNAcentral lists this ribosomal RNA (784 nucleotides) under uncultured Glomus. Its description in RNAcentral is "SSU rRNA". It matches the Rfam family "Eukaryotic small subunit ribosomal RNA", at positions 325 to 1111 of the family's 1831-position model. The record is from RNAcentral. Lineage: Eukaryota; Fungi; Glomeromycota; Glomeromycetes; Glomerales; Glomeraceae.
AUGGUAGGAUAGAGGCCUACCAUGGUGGUAACGGGUAACGGGGUGUUAGGGCACGACACCGGAUAGGGAGCCUGAGAAACGGCUACCACAUCCNAGGAAGGCAGCAGGCGCGCAAAUUACCCAAUCCCGACACGGGGAGGUAGUGACAAUAAAUAACAAUACAGGGUUCUUUGAAUCUUGUAAUUGGAAUGAGUACAAUUUAAAUCUCUUAACGAGGAACAAUUGGAGGGCAAGUCUGGUGCCAGCAGCCGCGGUAAUUCCAGCUCCAAUAGCGUAUAUNAAAGUUGUUGCAGUUAAAAAGCUCGUAGUUGAAUUUCGGGGUCAGUAGGUCGGUCGUGCCACUGGUAUGAACUGGUUUUACUGAUUCCUCCCUCUUGAAGAACUGUAAUGCCAUUAAUUUGGUGUUGCAGGGAAUCAGGACUGUUACUUUGAAAAAAUUAGAGUGUUUAAAGCAGGCUUUAGCUUGAAUACAUUAGCAUGGAAUAAUGAAAUAGGACGUUUGAUCCUAUNUUGUUGGUUUCUAGGAUUGACGUAAUGAUUAAUAGGGAUAGUUGGGGGCAUUAGUAUUCAAUUGUCAGAGGUGAAAUUCUUGGAUUUAUUGAAGACUAACUACUGCGAAAGCAUUUGCCAAGGAUGUUUUCAUUAAUCAAGAACGAAAGUUAGGGGAUCGAAGACGAUCAGAUACCGUCGUAGUCUUAACCAUAAACUAUGCCGACNAGGGAUCGGAUGAUGUUAAUUUUUUAAUGACUCAUUCGGCGCCUUACGGGAAACCAAAGUGUUUGGG